UACGAAGGUGGCAAGCGUUGUUCGGAUUUACUGGGCGUACAGGGAGCGUAGGCGGUUGGAUAAGCCCUCCGUGAAAUCUCCAGGCUUAACCUGGAAAGUGCAGAGGGGACUGUUCAGCUAGAGGAUGGGAGAGGAGCGCGGAAUUCCCGGUGUAGCGGUGAAAUGCGUAGAGAUCGGGAGGAACACCUGUGGCGAAGGCGCCUUGCUGGCCGAUUUCUGACGCUGAGGCGCGAAAGCGUGGGGAGCAAACAGG
This 253-nucleotide ribosomal RNA is filed under the name uncultured bacterium. Its description in RNAcentral is "partial 16S ribosomal RNA". It matches the Rfam family "Bacterial small subunit ribosomal RNA", at positions 524 to 776 of the family's 1533-position model. The record is from RNAcentral.